AAACCAUGAAUGAGAGUUUUUCUGAGCAAUCCUUUGAAUCUAUCCCAAGCUUGACUCAAGGUUUCCUCAAUAUCUUGCUAAAACAUAGAGAUCUCUUACUUCCCUUU
This is a small nucleolar RNA of Vigna angularis (adzuki bean), 107 nucleotides long. It matches the Rfam family "Plant small nucleolar RNA R71". From Rfam's summary of the family: R71 is a member of the C/D box family of snoRNAs containing the C (UGAUGA) and D (CUGA) box motifs. Multiple nearly identical copies of this snoRNA have been identified in Arabidopsis, and it is thought to function as a 2'-O-ribose methylation guide for 18S ribosomal RNA. Lineage: Eukaryota; Viridiplantae; Streptophyta; Magnoliopsida; Fabales; Fabaceae. The record is from Rfam.